GACGAAGGGGGGCUAGCGUUGUUCGGAUUCAUUGGGCGUAAAGGGUGCGUAGGCGGGUUGUCACGUCGGGGUGUGAAAAGCCCCGGGGGCUUAACCCCCGGGUCUGCAUUCGAUACGGGCUGGCUAGAGUGUGGUAGGGGGAGAUCGGAAUUCCUGGUGUAGCGGUGAAAUGCGCAGAUAUCAGGAGGAACACCGGUGGCGAAGGCGGAUCUCUGGGCCAUUACUGACGCUGAGGAGCGAAAGCGUGGGGAGCGAACAGG
Molecule: ribosomal RNA, 260 nt
Filed under: uncultured bacterium
Lineage: Bacteria
Description: partial 16S ribosomal RNA
Rfam family: Bacterial small subunit ribosomal RNA
Source: RNAcentral